MicroRNA precursor from Dipodomys ordii (Ord's kangaroo rat), 84 nucleotides. Ensembl annotates it as microRNA 27a. The record is from Ensembl. Lineage: Eukaryota; Metazoa; Chordata; Mammalia; Rodentia; Heteromyidae.
UGGCUGGAGGAGCAGGGCUUAGCCACUUGUGAGCAGGGUUUCUACCGUGAUGUUCACAGUGGCUAAGUUCCGCCCCCCUGGGCC